This 345-nucleotide long non-coding RNA is filed under the name Apteryx rowi (Okarito brown kiwi). RNAcentral's name for it is "lncRNA (ENSARWG00000000353.1)". Lineage: Eukaryota; Metazoa; Chordata; Aves; Apterygiformes; Apterygidae. The record is from RNAcentral.
AAACUACAAAAAAUGAAGGAUGAAUUCAUAGGUUCAGCCCUGGAACUUAUUAAGAAAAGCUGCAAUGCCGAGACUGCUGCCAAAUCCGCCGCCAAGGGAGAGCGUGAUCUGAGGAAAGACGAUCUCCCACCUCCAGAGGACAGCCAGCAACCCACAGUGAUGUCCAUGGCAACAGAGACCUGGGAGAACAAGCCAAGCAAUGAGGCAUCCAGCGAUGCUCAACCUGCAGGGAACACCUCCAGUCCUGCCUGCCRCCGAUCCAGCUCUGACAUCGCCCAUGAGAGCACGGACAGUGCCAAGGCCCAGCGAGAGUGCCGGCUGCGGCCGCACUUCAGUGACCCCAUG